AGAGUUUGAUCCUGGCUCAGGACGAACGCUGGCGGCGUGCCUCAGACAUGCAAGUCGAACGCGAAAGUCCCCUUCGGGCCCGGGGACAGCGGCGAACGGGUGAGUAACACGUGAGUAAUCUGCCCUCGGCAUCGGGAUAGCCCGGGGAAACCCGGAUUAAUACCGAAUAGCCUCCGGAGCCUUCGGGCGCCGGAGAAAAGGUAGCUUCGGCCUCUGGCCGAGGAGGAGCUCGCGGCGGAUUAGCUUGUUGGCGGGGUAACGGCCCACCAAGGCGACGAUCCGUAGCUGGUCUGAGAGGACGAUCAGCCACACUGGGACUGAGACACGGCCCAGACUCCUACGGGAGGCAGCAGUGGGGAAUCUUGCGCAAUGGGCGACAGCCUGACGCAGCGACGCCGCGUGCGGGAAGAAGGCCUUCGGGUUGUAAACCGCUUUCAGGAGGGACGAAGCCACUCGGGUGAACAGCCCAGAGGGUGACGGUACCUCCAGAAGAAGCCCCGGCUAACUACGUGCCAGCAGCCGCGGUAAUACGUAGGGGGCAAGCGUUGUCCGGAUUUAUUGGGCGUAAAGAGCGUGUAGGCGGCCAAGCAGGUCCGCUGUGAAAACUCGAGGCUCAACCUCGAGAGGUCGGUGGAAACCGUUUGGCUAGAGUCCGGAAGAGGAGAGUGGAAUUCCUGGUGUAGCGGUGAAAUGCGCAGAUAUCAGGAAGAACACCUAUGGCGAAGGCAGCUCUCUGGGACGGUACUGACGCUGAGACGCGAAAGCGUGGGGAGCGAACAGGAUUAGAUACCCUGGUAGUCCACGCCGUAAACGAUGGGUGCUAGGUGUGGGCGGUGUCGACUCCGUCCGUGCCGAAGCUAACGCAUUAAGCACCCCGCCUGGGGAGUACGGCCGCAAGGCUAAAACUCAAAGGAAUUGACGG
RNAcentral lists this ribosomal RNA (922 nucleotides) under uncultured bacterium. RNAcentral describes it as "bacterial SSU rRNA". It matches the Rfam family "Bacterial small subunit ribosomal RNA", at positions 8 to 916 of the family's 1533-position model. The record is from RNAcentral.